GAAAUCCCGAGGCUCAACCUCGGGUCUGCAGUGGGUACGGGCAGACUAGAGUGCGGUAGGGGAGAUUGGAAUUCCUGGUGUAGCGGUGGAAUGCGCAGAUAUCAGGAGGAACACCGAUGGCGAAGGCAGAUCUCUGGGCCGUAACUGACGCUGAGGAGCGAAAGGGUGGGGAGCAAACAGGCUUAGAUACCCUGGUAGUCCACCCCGUAAACGUUGGGAACUAGUUGUGGGGUCCAUUCCACGGAUUCCGUGACGCAGCUAACGCAUUAAGUUCCCCGCCUGGGGAGUACGGCCGCAAGGCUAAAACUCAAAGGAAUUGACGGG
This 324-nucleotide ribosomal RNA is filed under the name Paraphysomonas vestita. RNAcentral's name for it is "partial Bacterial small subunit ribosomal RNA". It matches the Rfam family "Bacterial small subunit ribosomal RNA", at positions 596 to 917 of the family's 1533-position model. Lineage: Eukaryota; Chrysophyceae; Chromulinales; Paraphysomonadaceae. The record is from RNAcentral.